This 83-nucleotide transfer RNA is filed under the name Streptomyces sp. JJ38. RNAcentral's name for it is "tRNA-Leu". It matches the Rfam family "tRNA". From Rfam's summary of the family: Transfer RNA (tRNA) molecules are approximately 80 nucleotides in length. Their secondary structure includes four short double-helical elements and three loops (D, anti-codon, and T loops). Further hydrogen bonds mediate the characteristic L-shaped molecular structure. tRNAs have two regions of fundamental functional importance: the anti-codon, which is responsible for specific mRNA codon recognition, and the 3' end, to which the tRNAs corresponding amino acid is attached (by aminoacyl-tRNA synthetases). tRNAs cope with the degeneracy of the genetic code in two manners: having more than one tRNA (with a specific anti-codon) for a particular amino acid; and 'wobble' base-pairing, i.e. permitting non-standard base-pairing at the 3rd anti-codon position. Lineage: Bacteria; Bacillati; Actinomycetota; Actinomycetes; Kitasatosporales; Streptomycetaceae. The record is from RNAcentral. RNAcentral also lists the same sequence under 2 other names.
GCCCGGAUGGUGGAAUGUAGACACGACGAGCUUAAACCUCGUUGGCCUCGUGGGCCGUGCCGGUUCGAGUCCGGCUCCGGGCA